CCGAGAGUCGAGCCGAGCCGCUGCCCCCGCUGCCCGCCGGCGCCGGGUGGGGGUCCCGGCGGCUGGAUGGGCAGCGGCGGCGCGGGCCGCGGGCGGCGAUGGGCGAAGAGCAGAGCACGGUGAGCGGUGGAGGCAGGCCCCAGGAGGCAUGCGUCCCGGCCGGCGGCGCCGCGGGCCAGCCCGAGCCCCCGAAGCUAUGGAGGGACAGCUCCGGGGCUCCCGGGCCACGCGCCGCCUCCGCCGAGCCCAGCUGCGGCGGUUGCGGAAGCGACUCAGGCUGCGAGGACACAAGCGUCCCGGAGCCCGCGAGGAGCCGGGGGACCCCUGGCUGGAGGAAGAGUCAAGCACCCGGACAGCCUGCGGGGCUGGCACUUACCGGGCCUCUCAACCCCCAGACUUUGCAACUACAGCUGGACCAGGAGCUGGAGGAAGCUGGGGACCGACAAGAGGGAGGGGAUGAACAGCAGGAGGCGCCCCCCGGCGAGGGGCCGGAGCCCAGGAGCCCCGCCGGGGAACCCGACGGACUGGUCCUGGACGUGCUGGGUCAGCGGCGCCCGCCUGCCACCAAGAGACACGUCUUCUGCUCUGUGUACUGCGUGGAGAGCGACCUGCCCCGGGCCCCCACCGCGGAGCAGCUCUCGCCGACCGCCUCGCCCCCUCGGGUUCCGCCGGUGCUGAAUCCUCCCAGCACCCCCUCCUCCUUCCCCAGUCCCCGGCUGUCCCUCCCAGCGGACCCCCUCUCCCCCGACGGCGGCAGCAUCGAGCUGGAGUUCUACCUGGCGCCCGAGCCGUUUUCCAUGCCCAGCCUGUUGGGAGCUCCACCCUACUCUGGCCUGGGCGGGGUAGGGGAUCCCUAUGCGCCCCUCAUGGUGCUGAUGUGCCGGGUGUGCCUGGAGGACAAGCCCAUAAAGCCCCUGCCCUGCUGCAAGAAGGCCGUGUGCGAGGAGUGCCUCAAAGUCUACCUGAGCUCCCAGGUACAACUCGGCCAAGUAGAAAUCAAAUGUCCUAUCACAGAGUGUUUUGAAUUCCUGGAAGAAACAACUGUUGUCUAUAACUUAACACAUGAAGACUCCAUCAAAUAUAAGUACUUCUUGGAACUUGGCCGUAUUGAUUCCAGCACCAAGCCAUGUCCUCAGUGCAAGCACUUUACAACCUUCAAGAAAAAAGGACAUAUUCCCACUCCUUCCAGAUCAGAAAGCAAAUACAAAAUCCAGUGCCCCACUUGCCAAUUCGUCUGGUGUUUUAAGUGCCACUCUCCUUGGCAUGAAGGUGUUAACUGCAAGGAGUACAAAAAAGGAGACAAAUUGUUGCGUCACUGGGCCAGUGAAAUUGAGCAUGGGCAGAGGAAUGCCCAGAAGUGUCCCAAGUGCAAGAUCCACAUCCAGAGAACUGAAGGAUGUGACCAUAUGACCUGUUCACAAUGUAACACUAAUUUUUGUUAUCGAUGUGGGGAGAGAUACCGCCAGCUCCGUUUCUUUGGAGACCACACAUCAAACCUCAGUAUAUUUGGAUGCAAAUACCGCUACCUCCCAGAGAGACCUCAUUUAAGGAGAUUAGUGCGAGGGUCGGUCUGUGCUGGAAAAUUAUUCAUCGCACCUCUAAUCCUGGUUCUGGGAUUAGCGCUAGGGGCCAUAGCAGUUGUAAUUGGUUUAUUUGUAUUUCCUAUCUAUUGCCUUUGUAAAAAACAGAGAAAACGAUCACGGACAGUUUCAUCAAGAUCUUAAAAAGAGAAGAAAAUAUAAAGGAUUAUUUAUAUGUCAGUGCCAACUUUGAAGUGUCUAUACAUUAAUUACUGAAAAGAAAGGAAGAAAUUGGUGAGUAAAAGCCAUGGAAACUGGGCUUAUUCCCAUAUUCCAAUAGCACUAAUGUAUAAUCCCUUUAACUUCCCAUAUGGUGCUUUGUGUGAUGAGUAUAAUAACAUUUAUAUAUGUUAUUAGUGCCUUAUUUUUUUCACUUUAUUUCUUAUCUAAAGAGCCAUAUAUUUUUUGUGAGUGUUCAUUGGUCCCUCUAUUUAAAGUGCUAAGGAGACAGUAUGUCUUUAGGGAUGUGUAUAGGCUGCAUUUGUUACCUUAAUCUACUGUAUUAUCUCUAGAACAGCAGGUUAGUCAACGUAUUUUUUUAACUAACAGUUGAUUUUUAAGCUGAAGUAUAUAAAUGGAUAUCAAACACCAGAAAUUGAAGCCACUGGAAUUGAAAUGUAUUUGAAAACCAUUUUUAAAAUGCUGCAUAAGUUUAAAACAGAAGUUGGAAUGGCUGUCAGUCUUAUCAAUAGCUCCAAUUAAAUGGACAAAAUUUUUUCACAAAAAGCAUUAAAAAUAAAAGUAACUUUAUGGGACUUCAGGAAUUUGACCAGUUUCCUACAACUUAUCGUUGACAAUAUUUUAUCAGUAAUAUACGUCCAUACAGAUGCUGGAGAACCAUAGUGUUUCUAUUUACAUGUUGUUCAUUCACGGUAGGCUUUAUUAACAUCAAGCCAUUUUGUAUAAUAUAUUAAUUACUUUGUGCUUCUUUGUCUGUAGCUUUUGUCUUAGCCUCAUAUAAAAUGCUGGUUUUGUUGUGUUCUUUAUGUACCAUAGUAUGUAAUUUGACUUGUUUUGAUGAAUGUAUGAUGAAUAAUUAAAAUAAACCAUGUGCUUAGAAAAGACAAAGACACAGGUUGUAUAUGCAAAUACUCUUAUGUGUAAAUAUUUGACAAAAAAAGAAAAAGGAAAAGAAUCUUCCUGCCAACAUAUAGGUUCUGCUGGACAGGACCUAGAAAUUAACAGAUUUUUUUUAAGCAGUGAAAUUUAAAAAUCUAUUACCUCAAGGAUUUUCAGUGGAUAUGUGUCAGGGUACUGCUCCUUCUUAGUAAGUAUAAUACCACUUGCUGCUGGCAGUAAAAGCAACCCAAGUAUCAGAUCAUGCAAAUUUUAGGGACAAGUCUUUCAAAAAGUGGAUACCUUGUGAUAUUUUGGAGUCUCAUUUUGGACUUUCAGUAAUGUCCCAAUGGCCUUUUGUUGUGGUUGGGCUUUUUUUUUUUUUUAAGUUAUUUUUGGUUGGUUGUUUUAGAAUGGAACGGUAAUCUUAAUUAUGAGAUCAGAUCGCAUGGAAGAAUAUAUGGACACCUACUCUACUUCGCUGAAAACUAUAAUGGGAAUCAAACGAUUCUGAUUGUCACUAUAUGAGCAGCUGUAUGGAUUACUGUGGAGUGCUGUUUACUGCAUGAUGUGUGCAAAACAUCAUGCAACAUCAUCUAGCAAUGCCUAAUAAAAAAUUUUAAAAGAGAA
This is an RNA transcript of Cynocephalus volans (Philippine flying lemur), 3266 nucleotides long. It is a transcript of the gene named ring finger protein 217, with no coding region annotated. The record is from RefSeq and is a predicted model, not a curated record. NCBI's taxonomy places the organism in Eukaryota, Metazoa, Chordata, Mammalia, Dermoptera, Cynocephalidae. The transcript is spliced from 8 exons.